Molecule: non-coding RNA, 4492 nt
Organism: Anas platyrhynchos (mallard)
Lineage: Eukaryota; Metazoa; Chordata; Aves; Anseriformes; Anatidae
Source: RefSeq, a predicted model, not a curated record
UGGUUUCCAUAAGCUUCGUUAGCAUCCCUGCACGUUGGCUUUGUUCAUGUUUCCCUGCCUUUCCAAGUGGGGCCAGAGCAGAGAGACAGAAGUGGGCAGCCUUUGGGCCAAACCCUUCAAGCACUGCCUGUGGCUCAGAUCACGGUCCCUGACAAAGAGAUUUCCUUUUUUUGCUCCCGUUCCUGCUGCAUUUGGCCAGAGAUUCAAGGGACAGCUACAGAGAGCAAUAUGGUUCGUUCUGGGAAUAGACUUCCUCUGUCAAGGGUACUGCUUGGGUACUCCAAUGUACUAUUCACGAUUUUUGAUGCUGCUUGAAUCCUGAAAGCCCUGGGCAGCGCAUCACACUGACUGGUCCUCCCCGAAGGUGGCCCGAGUGACAGCUGAGCCUGUGGGUCCCCAUCCUCUGCCUUCACAGAGCCAGGGACUUCUUCAGCAUCGUUCCUUCGUGGAGGAAUGCAGAGCAACUGGCCAUCUCUGUAACCGCUGCCAAGAGGUGGUUAGCGUGCUCCACCACAGCCCAAGGGUUUGAAUUCCAGAGCUACACAGAUUGCCUGAAAGGCUUGCUCCCCACAGGCUGCUACCGAGCUGGUGUGUCACACUGCUCGUCCUUUCGUGAGCUGGAAAUAUUCCCUUCGGUGCAGAGAAAUGCCCCGUGGUUCCUGCGGGGAAGCGUGGUGUUGGGAGCAGCGAGAAGGCGGUGUCCUUGUGUGUGCUCCGGUGGGAGGGAGCACUGGGAUGGAAGAAAGGCCAAAGGAAAGAGCAGCUGGAGAUGUUUGAUCCCUGUUAGCAGGGAAGAUGCUGAGCCCUGGCACUGGAGUGCUGAGGUGAUAAUAGCUCAUGAGUAGCCCAUGCCGCAGGCGUGGGCAGAGAACACUGAUUUCUGGGCUAUUCACAACAAAAUCCUUGGUCAGUGAAUAUUCUCCUUCACCAAGUACAUCCAGAGGGCAGAACAAAGCAAGAAGCGAUGUCCCCAUUUAUCCCCAGUGCUAUCCUGCAGGGCAGGGCUGCAAUAAUUAAUGUUUGAGAGCGAACCCAGCUUGGUGCAUCUCACAGCCAAGUCCCCGUGAUGGCUCGGGGCUGCCCAGAAGUGUGGGGUAGAGGGGAGCAGAGAGCUGGAGCUCAUCACCAAUGUGUCCAGCAGAGCUGCCGUGUCCGAUUCCACCACAGGAAGGGGUCACGGCUCCAGCCACAUGGGACUGAAGCACCUCUCAUCCUGAUCUCGGAUUUUCUUCUUUCUCAAUUAACUUUCAGCCAGAGUUGGUUUCAGGAAAGUUGUCCCCUAGUCUGCUGAGCUGCCAGCCUGAGCUGAUUCGGAAUGAAAACCCUGCCCAAACCAGCAACACAGAUCAGGCUCUUUUCCUUGGGCUUUGGGGAAUUUAAAAAAGCAUUCUGUGACUCUGCAGCUGAGUCAGCACUGGUUGGAUAUGAAUGUGAUUUCUGUGGUCAAACUUGGCAAAAAGCUCUAAUGUUUAAUGUGCCAGUCAGCUAAAACAUGCUGCUGUGUGAGAGAUGACGCAGUGGCAUUGUGUGGCUUGGUUGGGAUUGCCAGCAUGGAUACUCCAAAAGUAUCAGAAGAAGCUUUAAUAUCCCUGUUUACAUAACAUCAUGUUGCUCGUUUCAUGCUUCAUUAAUUUCUGCAGCAAGCAGGCUACGUUCUGAGAGCAGGAAACCUCCACUCCACCCUGAAUUAUAAAAAUAGCCGGUGAUCUCUCUUGCUAAUUUGAUUACAGUGGCUACAGAAAACAAGCUGUGUUGUAUGCAAUGCUGCCUGCUCCACUGAACAGAGCCUUCUUCAGGUGGGCAUCAUCUGUCUUAAUCCCACUCGGCCAGGUUUGGAUGUUGUCUCGCUAAAUAGCCUCAGUGGGUGAAUCAGGUUGGUGAAGUUGUCUCCAGGUGAGCCCAGCACACAGCUGCGCUGGCACAACUACCAGCUGUGUUGAACUUGGGUGCUGGAGGAAUUACAAGUGGCUGGGGGCAGGACCUUUUAAAUACAGUCCUAUUGCCACAUCCCUACUUUUGGAGGGUGGAACCCUCCUGGGCUUGCCCCAGGAGUGGUUUCAGGAGGACGUAACCUUCGAGGCAGGUUUGCUGCCCUAAUCGUGGGAAGGUUUUUCAGAGAAGUGGUACCUAUGUUUAGAUUCGUUUUGACACUUUAAUCAGACUGGGGGAAAAAAAGGCCUGUCGAGCUGUUUUUAUGAGUUGUUCAAUAAUGAAAUUUUCUUUGAAGCAAGUAAAAACCCUUGGAAGGAAGGUUUUAGGAUUGUACUUUUAAAGCGUAAGCUCAGUGUAUCUAUACUUUUUCUUAAGGGUGUUUUAUUUGCUUCUGGUACUAAUUCAGGAAUUAGUCCAAAGGCCGUUUACAUAAAUGAAAAGAGUUUUAUUGACUUUGAUGGGAUUUGGAUCAUGCUGCACUAAUUAAACAGUAAAGUAUCCAUUAGCAGCGAAGAGAACAGAAGAGAGAAGAGCCAAAUACUGUUGUGAUGAACCCUGCGAAGCUGAAUGAACUGCAGCCAAGGUCUCCAUAACUUCACAGAUGAGCUUUUCCAUAUUUCCCUGCCUCAGUCUUUUUGAAACAGAUACAACUGUAGAUUUUUAAAGGGAACCAAGUGUAUGAAGAUCCUUACCUUUGUUCUGUAUAUUAAUGAGUUUUGGUAGACACAUUUGUUCAACAAAGGUUUUUAAGGAAUGCAUGGAGUUCCUAGAUUCCAAAGAAAAGCAAAAGUUUUUUUCAGAGCUGAUGCUGAAAGUAGAAGGUUUUAUUAAAGUUAUCAAGCAAAAACAUUGAUCGCGACACCAUGAUACAGAGCACAGCUCUCUGUGUUUGUAAGUGCAACUUGGCCUCCUUUGCAAAAAUCAGGAAGGUCUCAUCACAGCUGCGGACUGGAAAUAUUUCAGUUGAACUGAAGGCAAUACAGCGUGUGUUUCCAUGGCAACCUCUUCUUGUGUCUUGAACUUGUCAGCAUCAAAAUAUGACAUUUUAAACUCUGAAGUGUCUACACGUAUCGCUCCUUCUUUCGCCACGAGCCAGACUUGCCAAAACCUGGGCUCCUGCAGCUAGCUGAAGCUAGGGCGAGGUGCUGGAGUCAGCUAUCCUUCAUACAGCCUGCCUGCUGACAAAGGAGGACUAGGGGAAGUUCUGUUCUACUGCUGCUGGGGGAAUUACGGCGACUCAGUAUUCCCCUUUCUUUGCCCCGAUUUGUAGCAAAAGUUGCCUGGGCUAUGGCGUUGUCCUUACAUGAACUCUUCCAAAGCAUUUGCCCCUGCUUUGAUCCAUCUCAGUUCACUUCUGCCUCUUCUGCAUAUGGAGUCUCAAGCUAAGCAGAGCAUUACCCACUACAUCCACCACUUGGGAGCACAGGUGAUCAGACUGCUCUUCAACCAUGGGAAUCAGCUGGUUGGGGAAGAAGUGGAUGAAACCCGUCUCCGUUCCCCAUUUGUAGGAGCUCAGUUAACGUGGCAGUGCUGUGCUGUCUCAGGAGAGGUUUGCCCAGCCGAGUUCAACAAUAAGAUGCAGUUGCAUUAUUUUACUUGCAUGAAUGGCAUUUCCAUCAAUUUUAAAAUUGCUCAAUUGGGCUGGUACAAUUGAAAAAUAACAGAUGAAAGUAAAUCUAAAGUAAUAGUCUUUUUAUCAAGCAUCAGGUUCACGUUUCUCCUUUUUUAUUUGUGGUUUCCUUGGCUCAAUGCGACAUUUUAUUUUUUUUUUGAGCAUGCUAUUAGAAUAAUUGCACAUUAAGAGAGAUCGAGCAGGUCCUAAGAGAGCCUAAAAGCUACAAUUCAGCAAUGUUGGGUAUUCCAAAACUGCUGUAUUUCCUACUUUUAAUCUUAUGCAUAGUUACCUUACCCAGUGUGCAUUGCUUUUUUCUUUGGAAAAGAAGUCAAAGAUUAAAAAAAAUCUUCUUAGUUGUUGGAUUAAGAUUUAUGGAAACUACUGGAAGACAGGUUUCCUGGAGUAGUCUGUGUAUAUGAUAGUUUCCCUAUACUUGUAACAUUAUAUUGUAUAUUCAAGCUAUUCCAAGUACGACCUUUUGCAAAAGACAGUUGAUCUUUUAUGAAACUCACAGAAACUGAAGAUAAGUAUUGAUUAAAUGAAAUUUGGACUGAAUUGUUUAAAUUAUUGUACAUUUAAAAUCCCUCAACUGCUUUAAAAAUGGAAUAAGUUGGCAAAUGGUGCUAAUGCAUCUCCAGAGCAUAUGGGAGAAACGGGUAAAAAAAAAAAAAAGUAAAUCUUCCUUACUUUCAGUACUUACAGGGAGCUUAAUAUCAUUAGGGAAGGAAAAUGUAAAACAUGUGAUAGCAGAUGCCAGACUAACCACAACACUCGAGCUCUCACGAGAAGCCCCCUUUUCAAGCUCUACGUAGCCUUGGCCAAGACAUUCUUUUUGGACCGUCAGUUCCUCAUUCCUGGUCUUAAGCCAGAGGUAAAUUCUCAUGUAUGUGGAAACUUUCAGCAAAACCCAUUCAAUCAUUUCUUGAAUUUUCUCUCUCAUCGGUG